Molecule: ribosomal RNA, 265 nt
Filed under: uncultured archaeon
Lineage: Archaea
Description: partial 16S ribosomal RNA
Rfam family: Archaeal small subunit ribosomal RNA
Source: RNAcentral
ACACGACUACAUUAGAUACCCGUGUAGUCCUAGCCGUAAACGAUACUCGCUAGGUGUCGGCCACGGUGCGACCGUUGUCGGUGCCGUAGGGAAGCCGUGAAGCGAGCCACCUGGGAAGUACGGCCGCAAGGCUGAAACUUAAAGGAAUUGGCGGGGGAGCACAACAACGGGUGGAGCUUGCGGUUUAAUUGGACUCAACGCCGGGAAGCUCACCGGAUAAGACAGCGGAAUGAUUGCCGGGCUGAAGACCCUGCAUGACCAGCUG